UAAGGAAUAUUGGUCAAUGGACGCAAGUCUGAACCAGCCAUGCCGCGUGAAGGAUGAAGGUCCUCUGGAUUGUAAACUUCUUUUAUCUGGGACGAAAACGGGAUUUUUAUCUCAAUUGACGGUACCAGAGGAAUAAGCACCGGCUAACUCCGUGCCAGCAGCCGCGGUAAUACGGAGGGUGCGAGCGUUAUCCGGAUUUACUGGGUUUAAAGGGUGCGUAGGUGGGCUUAUAAGUCAGUGGUGAAAUCUCCGAGCUUAACUUGGAAACUGCCGUUGAUACUAUAGGUCUUGAAUUAUCUGGAGGUAAGCGGAAUAUGUCCUGUAGCGGUGAAAUGCUUAGAUAUGACAUAGAACACCAAUUGCGAAGGCAGCUUACUACAUAUAAAUUGACGCUGAGGCACGAAAGCGUGGGGAUCAAACA
RNAcentral lists this ribosomal RNA (421 nucleotides) under uncultured bacterium. Its description in RNAcentral is "bacterial SSU rRNA". It matches the Rfam family "Bacterial small subunit ribosomal RNA", at positions 355 to 774 of the family's 1533-position model. The record is from RNAcentral.